RNAcentral lists this small RNA (46 nucleotides) under Arabidopsis thaliana (thale cress). RNAcentral's name for it is "ATSL088480". The record is from RNAcentral. Lineage: Eukaryota; Viridiplantae; Streptophyta; Magnoliopsida; Brassicales; Brassicaceae.
UGAUUAUUUGGUAAAUGUCCCUCUUCUAAAAAAUCAGUCUAUGGUU